RNAcentral lists this ribosomal RNA (341 nucleotides) under Florenciella parvula. RNAcentral describes it as "partial Bacterial large subunit ribosomal RNA". It matches the Rfam family "Bacterial large subunit ribosomal RNA", at positions 2552 to 2910 of the family's 2925-position model. The record is from RNAcentral. Lineage: Eukaryota; Dictyochophyceae; Florenciellales.
GCUGAAGAAGGUUCUAAGGGUUGGGCUGUUCGCCCAUUAAAGUGGUACGUGAGCUGGGUUUAGAACGUCGUGAGACAGUUUGGUCCCUAUCUACUGUGUACAUCGAAAAUCAAGGAAAUUAUUCUUCAGUACGAGAGGACCGAGAAAUGCAAACCUAUUGUGUAUCGGUUGUUUUUUAAGCAGCGCCGAGUAGCUACGUUUGUAAUAGAUAAUCACUGAAAGCAUAUAAGUGAGAAGCCAAUUCCAAGAUAAAUUUUCUAAAAGCCGUAAUAGACUAUUACGUUGAUAGGCUUUUUGUGUAAGGGUAGUAAUACUUGAAGCUAAAAAGUACUAAUUUGCUU